GACGAACGCUGGCGGCGUGCUUAACACAUGCAAGUCGUACGGUAAGGCCCUUUCGGGGGUCCACGAGUGGCGAACGGGUGAGUAACACGUGAGUAACCUGCCCACAACUUUGGGAUAACGCUAGGAAACUGGUGCUAAUACUGGUUAUGUGCUCCUGCUGCAUGGUGGGGGUUGGAAAGCUCCGGCGGUUGUGGAUGGACUCGCGGCCUAUCAGCUUGUUGGUGGGGUAGUGGCCUACCAAGGCGGCGACGGGUAGCCGGCCUGAGAGGGUGACCGGCCACAUUGGGACUGAGAUACGGCCCAGACUCCUACGGGAGGGAGCAGUGGGGAAGAGUGAACAAUGGGCGCAAGCCUGAUGCAGCAACGCCGCGGGCGGGAUGACGGCCUUCGGGUUGUAAACCGCUUUCAGCAGGGACGAAGCUUUUUGUGACGGUACCUGCAGAAGAAGCACCGGCUAACUACGUG
RNAcentral lists this ribosomal RNA (465 nucleotides) under uncultured bacterium. RNAcentral describes it as "partial 16S ribosomal RNA". It matches the Rfam family "Bacterial small subunit ribosomal RNA", at positions 28 to 507 of the family's 1533-position model. The record is from RNAcentral.